RNAcentral lists this ribosomal RNA (254 nucleotides) under uncultured bacterium. Its description in RNAcentral is "partial 16S ribosomal RNA". It matches the Rfam family "Bacterial small subunit ribosomal RNA", at positions 524 to 776 of the family's 1533-position model. The record is from RNAcentral.
UACGUAGGUGGCAAGCGUUGUCCGGAAUUAUUGGGCGUAAAGAGCUCGUAGGCGGUGUGUCACGUCGGCCGUGAAAACCUGCAGCUUAACUGUGGGCGUGCGGUCGAUACGGGCAUCACUGGAGUUCGGCAGGGGAGACUGGAAUUCCGGGUGUAGCGGUGAAAUGCGCAGAUAUCAGGAGGAACACCGGUGGCGAAGGCGGUUCUCUGGGCAUUACCUGACGCUGAGGAGCGAAAGUGUGGGGAGCGAACAGG